CCCUUAGAUGUUCUGGGCUGAACACGUGCUACACUGGCAGGUUCAGCGAGCUUCAUGCCCUGAUCUGAAAGGAAUGGGAAAUCUUUUCAAAACCUGCCGUGCUUGGGAUAGAUGUUUGCAAUUAUUCAUCUUCAACGAGGAUUGCCUUGUAAGCGCACGUCAUCAGCGUGCAUUGAAUACGACCCUGUAUUCUGUACACACCGCCCGUCGCUCCUACCGAUUGAAGUUUUCGGUGAGUUGACAGGAGGAUUUUUUUGAAACUGGUUCGCCAGUGGAUUUUAGAUCCAAAUGCCAACGAAUCGAUGGCUUUAGAGGAAGGAGAAGUCGUAACA
RNAcentral lists this ribosomal RNA (332 nucleotides) under uncultured eukaryote. RNAcentral describes it as "partial 18S ribosomal RNA". It matches the Rfam family "Eukaryotic small subunit ribosomal RNA", at positions 1470 to 1796 of the family's 1831-position model. The record is from RNAcentral.